AGAGAGAGACAUGCGCGCAUAUCAAUAAGCGGAGGAAAAGAAACUAACAAGGAUUCCCUUAGUAACGGCGAGUGAAGCGGGAAGAGCUCAAAUUUGAAAUCUUCAAGGUUCUACCUUGACGAAUUGUAGUUUAAAGAAGUGUUUUCUGUUGGAGUUUUGGUAAAAGUUCUUUGGAAUAGGACAUCAUAGAGGGUGAGAAUCCCGUAUUUGACCAUUAUUUCCAGCUUUGUGAUACACUUUCAAAGAGUCGGAUUGUUUGGGGAUGCAGUCCAAAAUGGGUGGUAAAUUUCAUCUAAAGCUAAAUAUUGGCGAGAGACCGAUAGCGAACAAGUACUGUGAGGGAAAGAUGAAAAGAACUUUGAAAAGAGAGUUAAACAGUACGUGAAAUUGUCAAAAGGGAAGCGUUUGACACCAGUGUUGUUUUCUCGAAAAUCAAUUAAAAAUGGCUCGAUUUUGUAUUGCUUGAGACCUUAGAAGCUCACUGUACAUUUUUCGUGUCUUUUUUAAUGCACUUUUCGUUUAACAAGUCAACAUCAGUUUCUUUUGUUGUAAAAGGGUCAUUGGAAGGUGGCUUUCUUUUCGGAGAAAGUGUUUAUAGCCUUUGGCCUCUGCAAUCGGAGAGACUGAGGUCUGCAGCGUAGACUCUUCGGGGUUAGAUACAUUUGUGCUAAGUUAUAGCUUUUUAUAGACAACUUGUUGACUAUAAUUAGUCUUGUAGCUUACUCGCUUAUGCUAUUUUACCUACGCUUAGGAUGUUGAAGUCAUCGUAUCGCGC
RNAcentral lists this ribosomal RNA (775 nucleotides) under uncultured Neocallimastigales. RNAcentral describes it as "partial large subunit ribosomal RNA". It matches the Rfam family "Eukaryotic large subunit ribosomal RNA", at positions 23 to 645 of the family's 3401-position model. Lineage: Eukaryota; Fungi; Neocallimastigomycota; Neocallimastigomycetes; Neocallimastigales. The record is from RNAcentral.